RNAcentral lists this ribosomal RNA (484 nucleotides) under uncultured bacterium. Its description in RNAcentral is "partial 16S ribosomal RNA". It matches the Rfam family "Bacterial small subunit ribosomal RNA", at positions 29 to 507 of the family's 1533-position model. The record is from RNAcentral.
AGUGAACGCUGGCGGCAGGCCUAACACAUGCAAGUCGAGCGGCAGCGCGGGGGCAACCCUGGCGGCGAGCGGCGGACGGGUGAGGAAUUCGUCGGAAUCUGCCUUUUUGUGGGGGAUAACGUAGGGAAACUUACGCUAGUACCGCAUACGUCCUACGGGAGAAAGUGGGGGACCGCAAGGCCUCACGCAGAAAGAUGAGCCGACGACCGAUUAGCUAGUUGGUGGGGUAAAGGCCCACCAAGGCGACGAUCGGUAGCUGGUCUGAGAGGAUGAUCAGCCACACUGGGACUGAGACACGGCCCAGACUCCUACGGGAGGCAGCAGUGGGGAAUAUUGGACAAUGGGCGCAAGCCUGAUCCAGCCAUGCCGCGUGUGUGAAGAAGGCCUUCGGGUUGUAAAGCACUUUUGUCCGGAAAGAAAUCCCUGGAGCUAAUACCUUCGGGGGAUGACGGUACCGGAAGAAUAAGCACCGGCUAACUUCGUG